This is a long non-coding RNA of Xenia sp. Carnegie-2017, 99 nucleotides long. RefSeq lists it as uncharacterized. NCBI's taxonomy places the organism in Eukaryota, Metazoa, Cnidaria, Anthozoa, Malacalcyonacea, Xeniidae. The record is from RefSeq and is a predicted model, not a curated record. The transcript is spliced from 4 exons.
GUUAUGACAAACUAUAUUAAAAGAAGCAAACGUGUUCAAAAUGUUAUUUCAUGAAAGUAUCCAUUCUUUCAACGCCACGUACUCUGCGUUAUACCACUG